Molecule: RNase P RNA, 346 nt
Filed under: Candidatus Colimorpha onthohippi
Lineage: Bacteria; Pseudomonadati; Bacteroidota; Bacteroidia; Bacteroidales
Description: partial RNase P RNA component class A
Rfam family: Bacterial RNase P class A
About the family: Ribonuclease P (RNase P) is a ubiquitous endoribonuclease, found in archaea, bacteria and eukarya as well as chloroplasts and mitochondria. Its best characterised activity is the generation of mature 5'-ends of tRNAs by cleaving the 5'-leader elements of precursor-tRNAs.
Source: RNAcentral
AUCGGGGGUUAUUCUAUCGCUGGUCGUGCUUACAAUAGGUUCGACGAGAGGAAAGUCCGGGCAACAUAGAGCCGCCAUACUUCCUAACGGGAAGGGGCGUGUAGUGGCAACGCUCACGCUACAGAUAGCGCCGCAGAAAAGAAACCGCUUGCUACCGCAAGUAAGGGUGAAAACGCGAGGUAAGAGCUCACGACGGGUCUGGCAACAAACCCGAUGGCAAGCCUUAUGGGUUGAAAGACCAAAUAUACCAACAGUCAAGAGUUGGCUCGCUCGUUGUUGGGGGGUAGGUCGAUAGAGGCCGUUGGCGACAACGGCAGUAGAUUAAUGAUAGAACACUGCUCUAUAU